Molecule: ribosomal RNA, 372 nt
Filed under: uncultured bacterium
Lineage: Bacteria
Description: bacterial SSU rRNA
Rfam family: Bacterial small subunit ribosomal RNA
Source: RNAcentral
GGGCCCGCACAAGCGGUGGAGCUUGUGGUUUAAUUCGAUGCAACGCGAAAAACCUUACCUACUCUGACAUACUUGGAAGCUCUUGUAAUGAGAGUGUGCCUUUUGGAGCCAAGAUACAGGUGCUGCAUGGCUGUCGUCAGCUCGUGUCGUGAGAUGUUCCGUUAAGUCGGAUAACGAGCGCAACCCUUACCCUUAUUUGCCAGCGGUUAGGCCGGGAACUAUAAGGGAACUGCCGGUAAUAAGCCGGAGGAAGGUGGGGACGACGUCAAGUCAUCAUGGCCCUUACGUGUAGGGCUACACACGUGCUACAAUGGGAGAUACAGACGGUUGCUAAAGCGCGAGCUGGAGCCAAUCCGACAAAGUCUCUCGUAG